GAUGGUGCAAUUAUCAUGUUGUUGAGCAUUUCCUUAUUGACGUGCACCACACAUAGCGUCUAAUCUCCAAAAUGUAUGUCAAAGCAGUUUCUCGGUUUCUGACGUGUUUAGAGAGCCUGUCCUGCAGCAUGAGUCAUGUUUCUGCACCAGAACUCCAACUCAACAGCCAUAGGACGUUUUAGGGAUUUCCUCAGGAUCAUAAAGUCUAAGUUGCCAGACAGGUUUACUUAAAGGUAGGUUUAUUAUCCAGUGCAUUGUUUAGACACUAUAAAAUUCAUAUAUUGAUGAAAAACAUUCACUAUCUUUUACAUUAAGCCAGUACUAACUUAAGAUGAGAAAUUAAUUCAAAAAGUGAUUUUAAACUGUGAGAUGUUUAUCAUCAAACUCAGAUUAUGAUAUAGGAUUUUUUUAAAAAACUUUAUUGGAAAAGACACUAACACACUUCAAACCCAAAUAUAUACAUACCCUAAACAUUUUGCAGUCUGCAUUGAAUUCUCGUAUAAUCCUCCACACAUAACAAGUCAGAUAACUAAAAGUAAGUAUAAUAAGAGGCUAAAUUUGUACAUUUUGCAUAGUUACGGAGAUAACACUGUGUAACAAACUUUUAGUUUAACCAAGAACUAUUCAGACUAAUUU
This 636-nucleotide long non-coding RNA is filed under the name Cyanistes caeruleus (blue tit). Its description in RNAcentral is "lncRNA (ENSCCEG00000015388.1)". The record is from RNAcentral. Lineage: Eukaryota; Metazoa; Chordata; Aves; Passeriformes; Paridae.